Nyctereutes procyonoides (raccoon dog) is the source of this 1102-nucleotide long non-coding RNA. RefSeq lists it as uncharacterized. The transcript is spliced from 4 exons. Lineage: Eukaryota; Metazoa; Chordata; Mammalia; Carnivora; Canidae. The record is from RefSeq and is a predicted model, not a curated record.
UGCCCUGACACGGUGCUGAUCCAAAUGUUAUGUACAAGAAGGGCCACACCGCUCUACAUUAUGCGUCCUUUGGGGAGAGUGUCUCAAUAGAGAAGCUGUUUUUUACACAAAGCAAAUACAGACGCAAAGAACAUGUGCAGAUUGGCUGUACAAUGGAAAGAACAGACCUGUGCGACUCUUCUGCCCCAACACGGUGCUGAGAAAUGUCUUAAGGACCUCAAGGGCAACACCUCUCACCAUUAUGCGACCUUUGAGGACAAUGUGUCAAUAGAGAAGCUGUUUUUAUACAACGGAAAUACAGAGCCCAAAAACAAGUGCUGACAGGCUAUACAACGGACAGAACAGACCUGUGCAACAUCUCUGCCCCGACACAGUGCUGAGAAAAGUCUUAAGGACCUCAAGGGCAACACCUCUCACCAUUAUGUGGCCUUUGAGGAGAAUGUGUCAAUAGAGAAGCUGUUUUUAUACAAAGGAGAUACAGAGCCCAAAAACAAGUGAAAUAAGUAGAAAGGGGAAGAGGGAGAAAUGGUAUGUUUCACCUGGAAAGUAUUUGAAAGCAUUUUUGCUCCUGAGCACUAUGUGUGUUGGAGUGGCCGCUCUCCUGCUGCAUGAGGAGCAUGCUCUCUCGCUCUGUACUCCGGAGACGACAGUGCCAAGCAACACUACCUGGGGUAGGAGAAUGACCCCUGACCCGUAAACUGCAGCUUGUCUGCAAGGAGCUACAGGGAACCAUAAGCAUCUCGUGUGCACCAUGCUUUUGGAGCUUCCCUGAAUGUAGUGACUCUUGGAACAGGACUCAACCCUGGUUGGGACACACAGGUCAAAAAUAUCACCAAGCCAGGUGUGAGUCACACAGGCACUUUAGAUUUGCACCAAGUGAGCCAGCUAUGUGUGGAAAGUCCUUUUCAAAUCUGAGUAGCCUCAACUGUUUCCAUGAUGACCCUUCCACUGCCCCAGAAACUAGAAGUACUCCAUUCUAAUCAUUCCUCGAGAUAGAUGUAGGCAACAAUAUUUUGCACUCCAUUAAACUGGGGCAAAUAGCAUAAAACUUACUCAUUAUACAACUGUAGUAAGUUUAUGGCUCAAAUAAAUUUUAUCCAUA